CCGCAGAAGAUAUAUAAUCCUGUAUGCAAAUUUAAAGCAUUUAAAUAAUUAACAAGCCUUAGUCGGUAAAGCCUAACCAGGCUGCAAUUUUUACCGCGUCAAUUCCAGCUCACUAAUCAAUAAAAGCAAAAAUAUAAGUUAAUUAGGAGAAAAAGCCUUAGCGGUGUGCGUGUGAGGCAAAGCCCUAAACCAUUUCAUAAUAUGUAUAUAUACACGCUUAUAUCUUCGUUUCCAAAAUCAUUCUCAAAACAAAAAAAACAUAAUAUACAUCUAUGCUUAGCAUAUCAUGAGCAAUAUCCCCACAUCUCUCACCGACUCAUCUCUUUCUAUCUUUCUCCUCACUAUCUCUUCUGCCGUCGAUCCUUGGCCCUUUUCUAUCUCCGUCUUCUAACAUCAACCUCUGCCUUUUCAUCGUCCUUCAGCGUUUCAUUCAAUCAGUAAGAAAGACUUUAUCUUUUUAAUGGGUUUUGAAGAUCAAGAAGAGCAGAAACAGAGUCCAAAACAGAGUCAGAGCCAGAUGGUGUUCAAGUUUCACUUUUAUGUUCCCCAUCUCCACAUACACCAUCAUCAUAACCACCAUCAUGUUCCGAAAGGCUGUGUCGCGAUCAUGGUGGGACACGAAGGAGAUGAAGAAGGUCUACACAGAUUCGUGGUUCCGUUGAUGUUCUUGAGCCAUCCUCUGUUUUUGAGUCUCUUGAAAGAAGCUGAAGAAAAGUACGGAUUCAAACACGCGGGCCCGAUUACGAUUCCCUGCCGCGUCGAUGAGUUUAAGCAUGUUCAGGAGAUUAUCGACGAGGAGACUCAUCGUCGUCACAGUCACGGACACAACUACCACCACCACCACAACCAUCUGCCAUGUUUCUGAAGACCUGUUGGUUUGGUUUGGUUUGAUUUGACAUAUAAUUGGGUAUAUUGGUUUGGUUUGACUUUCCUUUUGAGAUUGUUUUAGUUAUUGCAUAAUUUUCGUUUGUAGUUAGUGAUGAUGAUGAAAAACAGCGAGUAGUUGAAUGCGAAUGCGAAUGCUUCUCAGCUAUUACGAUGAAAUCGUGAGGAGUACGAAAUUUCAGUUUGUGGUUGUGGGAUAAUGUAUUUAUUUGUUUUUUUUUUCAAGAAAAGGAAUGUAAAAUUUCUUUUAUUUUUAAUUGAUUUUUACGCGUUCGGCCGUUGGGCGUGUUACUAUUACAUCCACAAUGCCAAGUGUCCGGAAUAUAUUGAGAAAAUUAUUCUCAAAGACACAAUUGUGAGUUUUCAAUUACACAACGACGUACUUUCUGCCUUAGACACACAUUUUCUAGGUGUAAUGUCAUAAUUGACCCUGAGCUUGCGUAACUAAAUAGAAGAGACUCGUUUGAAUAAAAUAGGUUGUGUUUUAGCAUAUUUUUUCAAUCAUUAUAAUUCUUAUCUAUAAAUGAAUGGCGAAGAAAAUUUGAAUAUUUCUUUUAUUUUAUUAUCUUUAUCUUCAAACGAAAUUCAUUCAUUGCUUUCUUUCUACUUUUUUUUUUUUGUUCUUAUUUUCUUUCGACUCUGUUUCGUGAGGUUUAUUUUCUCUGACACCACCAUAGCUGCUGCAACUCUUUUACUUUUUUUCAUUACCACUCACUCCACAUCGAUUGUCAUUGUCGUCUUCGCAACAUCACCUUCACCGUCGAAACAUCAGCAUCCUUUCACCACCAUUGAUGUCUCCACAUCACUAUGAAAGAGACUCGGUCUGUGGAGGUCGUGGUGGAGGUGACAGUGGAUAUCGCAAUGGAGGUGACGGUGUUUACGGAGAAAGCGGUGGUGGAAAACAUGAAGGUGUAUAUAGUGGUGGAUGUGGCUACUCGAGAGAAGGAGGUGGUGGUGGAUGUGGUGGAGGUGGAAGACAUGAGGUUGGGUAUACGGAGAUGGAGGUUGUGGAUACAAGUCAUGUUAUUCUUUUGAAUUAAAAAAAUGUGUUCUGGUAUUAUCAUUGUCCCAAACUAAUCUUAUAUCCAUAAUAAGACAUCCACAACCGCAGAUAAAACACUGUUUACAAACAUUACACAUAUGGUCAAGUUACUCUAUUUUACACAUAUGGUCCUUCCAUUUUCUGGAUUUUUGCAAUUUGACCCCAACAUUAUUCAAUUUGCUUAUAGAUCCUCUUGAUUUCGUCGCAAACUUUUAAUGAUGUACUUUAAUCCGUAAUAAUAAUUUUCUUAUCAACUCAUAUCCAUACUUUUUAUGUCCAUUAUAAAUUAUUUAAUAAAAUAAAAUUUUAUAAAAUAUCAAAAAUAUAUAUAUGGAUACAAAUAUAUUUUGUCCACAUAAACUUUUCCACAAAACAAUUAUAACAAUUUCGUGUCUACAGGAGCUUGUUCACAUAAGAUGUGUCCACUGAAUUAUGUCCACAAAAAAGUUUAAUCCAUUUCUCACUUUCAAAACGUCACAAUACGUUCUCUAGAUAGAUUAUCUUCAAACAAAUAACACAAACCCUAGAUAGAUUAAACUUCAAACAAGAGCUUCGUCUACAAUAAAAUGUUAACAAUCAUAAUUACACAAUUAUAAUUGUAUGAGCUUGUCCAUAAGAACACGUCCAGCACAAACUUGUUUAUAACAUAUUCACGUGACUCUUGUCCACAACAUAUAUAUCCACCAGAAAACUGUCCACAAUGUUAACACUCGUCCACAAUUCACAUGUCCACAUAAAACUCGUCCAUAUAUAUAGACGUAUCCAUAAAAACAUGUCACAAAAACCUGUCUCCAAUCCCUUCUCCAACUUCUUUAUUUUAUUCAUGAUUGAUAAAAGAGAGAGACUUCAAGUAUAAGAACAUAUUUGUUGUCCUUUUAUUGAUAGAAAACUAUAAUUUGAGGAUUGUGAAGUAGAACUAGGCAAAUAAAAUUUAUCGGGGGUAUAAACUGCACAACUGAAAGUUUGGUAUUAAUUUAAGAGGACAUUUCUGCAAAAUAAAAAAUCCGGGCCCAAUCGAAAGAAAUCAAAAAGUGAAGGACCAGAUCUGAAAAUAAUUGAAAAUCCACCAUUGUUGCUCGAUCUCUUAUGUGACGAGACAGAGGCGGCGAUGAUGAGCACGACGAGGCUUGAAUACGAGCAUUACACCGUCGGUAGAGCAAGACGACGGAGAUGGUCUGGUGGCCCGGGACAGACGCGACGAGCUGCCGCGGAGAAGAGAGAGCACGAGACAGGUGAAUCAUGGAGGAUAUGAAGCAUACGCGACAGUGGAGGAUUGCAGUGGAUAACUGUUGGUUGGAGUACAGUGACUGGUAAUUGUAAUGGGAGAGAAGUCGCCAAGCUUGGUUUCCACGAGUUGCAGUCGAAGGUGAGAGGACCCACAAAGAAGAUGAAUCCAGUGAAGCUCGCGACAAGACAUAAGGUGUUCCAGUUUGGAAAAAAUUAAUAGCCCAACUAUUUUCCUAACUUAACUAAUAAGAAGAAAGUAACUAGUUCUUUCUUUUGCUAACUACACGUGAAGCUAAAGGGCAUAAUGGUCAAAAAAGAUCUUGGUUUCAUGAAUUGUGUGCUUCAAGCACAAUAUGUACUUUUGUGAAAGGAAAAAGACAAAUGUGUCUUUUAUGGUAACUCACUCGAAUAUAUUCUGUUGUUUAUCUGAAAAGUGAAAAAUUCAACAAUAUCUUCGAUUUACCGGAAAGCAUUCUAUCAUGACUUUGAUUUGAGAUCUUCACAAACUAUAUCGACCAUAAUUAGUCUAUUUUUAAUGGGACAUCCGGUGAUCGAAAUUAAGCUAGGCGUAAGUUAGACAGUCGGUAUAGAUUUAGUUUUUUUUAUUGUCAGCACUAUAACCAGACACAUAUACGCUCUGGAAACCAAACUGGUAACUCCGCAUCCAUAUGCACGACAAACAAACGACGGUUGAUUUCUUGCACUGCGUGUGAAACAAUCCAUUUUUGAAUUCUGCAUCUGUGGUAUAUAAAUAAGAUUUGAGCUGUUGAAACUUCUAUUCAAGAACUUUACGUCUUCCAAAUAAUUUGCAAAGGCUGGCCAUUCUUAUGAUUCUGAAACCAUCUUUAACAACUGAGAACAAUCCGUUGCAAGUGUAACAGAAAAUUGUCUAAGACUUCUCAUGCAUUCCAUUGCCCAAAUGAGAGCCUCUAUAUCCGAAUGAAGUGGCGACUGACUCACUCUUGUAUUCCUCGCUCUCAUUAGACCAUCAAAGUCCUCCAGUGUGCUAUACAACCCUUGGUCCGAAUAGAUUUCCUCAUUUUUCCAAGAUCUAUCCGUAAAGUAUCAUCUACGUGGGAUAUUCAGUAUUAUCGCUGCGACUGGUAAUCUAGUAUGAUCUAUUUCCCGUGUAAGAAAAAUUUGUGUCUCAACCCAAAGUAACGACUCCGUAUCUGCCUAUCUGAGAGUAUCUCAAAUAUCAAUAUCCAAAUUGAUAAAAAAAAAAAAUUUCUUUCCAUAUGUACCAUAAGAUAAAUGCAAUGGUCUACCAAUUUCGGAGAAACCCUCCAAAGAAAUGACCCAUGUUUGCAAAAAGUGAUUACGUGAGAAAAAUAUAUGGAUUCAUUGGAAUUCGUGAAAGUUCGCAUACCUGGAAUGUUGAAUCCGUUUAUGUUGAUGAAAGAAAAAAAAACUGAUUAAUGUGGAAUACACAUAUUCUCGAACUGAAUAACGGAUCAUAUAAUCUAACACGUUAGGCAUAUUUCAAUUUUAUAUAUAGGCUUGUGAUUUCUUUUUAUAAGUUUAUAUCCCAUUUGACUUCUCAAAUCAUACAAAGUCAAAAUAUAUAAUAUAAAAAUUACCAAAAGGAUUACGUAAUAAUAAGUACAUUAAAAAUACUAAUCUCAUGCAGCUGUUGGAAAGACGGAAACAAACAUAAAUAUAGCGUAGUUAUCUAAAACGUUACGACUAUUUAUCUCUACAAUUUGGGCCGGCUUAACAUUGCUAUAUGUCGUAGGACAAAAAAUUUUUUUUUUUACCCUCUAAGAUUUAUAUUCAGAUAAUAUUUAACAUAUUUUUAAAAUUUAAUCAGUAAUAUUUUGUUUAUUUUGUGAUGAAAACAAAACUAUAUGCAUAUUAAAUAUUUUUGGCCCUUUACAAUUUUAUUUAUUAUAUUUAUAAUUUUUUAUAUAAAAAUAUAGACUUUUUAAAAAAAUUAAACCCUUAACUAUUAAUAUACGGGAGGACACGGGCUUGGACCCGGGGCAGUUGAAGAAGCCCCCCCCCUCCUCAGCCGGCCCAGUCUACGAUUAGCGGAAUGAGGUAUUAUAAGUUUGACCAAUUUAAUCGUGUUCAUCCAUUUAUCUAUAAUCACGGUGGCCAUACAUUAGGAAGGGACGGGCCAAGCCAACGGCUGGUGAAAUACACAUUUCUGUAAGGGCAAAUCUCCAAAAUAGCAUUUUUCUAAGUUUAUAUCACAAAAAUAACAUUCAAAAACUAAAAUGACCAAAAUAGCACCUUUCUAAGUUUAUCCUUUGAAAAUUUUAAAUUUUUUAUUUUUCAAAAUUUGAAAUCUUAUCCCCAAAACCUCAUUUCUCACCUCUAAACCCUAAACCUUAAACUCUAAACUCUAAACCCUAAACCCUAAACUGUAAACCCUAAACCCUAAACUCUAAACCCUAAACCCUAAAUCAUAAACUCCACCCUUUAACUAUAAACCCUAAGUUUAUGACUUUUGAUAAAACAUUAAGUGCUAUUUUUGUGACUUUUGACCUUGAAUGCUAGUUUGGGAAUAAAAACUUGAUUUAGUGCUAUUUUUGUCUUUUUAUCUUUCUUUAAUGUCAUUUGGAUUCUUUUAUUUAUAUCAAAACUUCGAGGAAAAUCCCACAAAUACAUUUUAUUCAUUUAUUUAACCAAUUCAUUGGCUUUUUGAAGCGUCAACUAGGGCUUUGAUUAUUACGUUUUUGUCUUAUCUUAGAAGGUAACACUGUAAAAAUCUUACCCCCACCCUGAUGUUAUUAUUUUUAUUUUUUUUGAAAAGACCACCCUGAUGUUAUUGCUACAACGAUAAAGUAAAAUUUGAGGUCGCGGUGGGACUACUGCUGUCUAUCCUGACGAAUACCUUUGAUAAUUAUAUAAUUUUGCACGAUAGGUUACAUAUUUAUCUGUAAACUACUUCAACUUUUUUAAAGGUAUUACAUUUUUUGUCAACAAUAUCCGUGGAUGUCGGUUAUAAUAUCUGUUUUAAUCAGUUUUAAGGAAAAUAAGCCAUACAAAUACAUCAUUGAAUUUUGGAUAAUUUGGUUGACAAGAGAUCAAACAAGAACAUUUUUUACAUAACUGAUAGUACUAUACAAGAUAACAUAUACCAUCAAUAUAUACAUCAUAAUUCUUUUAGUAAGCUAAUUAUGCCGCUGCAAAAGGACUAAUUAUGUUAUUUGAUGAAAAUAAUUAUAUGUGUAAAUUUAAUAUCUACAACCUAAUUAUUUACAUUAAGAAUAUAGUUAUAAGGAUCAAUUAGACAAGUUUUUUUCUUUUUUUUUCCAGUUAGACACGCUUAAAUCAUUAAAAGAUCAUAUAGAUGUAAAAAAAGAUUUCUAAUAUAAUACUCAUAAAAAAUAUAUUUUAACUCAUAUUCCCUGCGUUUCAUAUAAAGUAUCGUUGAAAAGAAAAAAUUUCGUUACAAAAUAAAUGUCAUUUUAGUAUUUCAAUGUAGAAUUUAUUAACUUUAUUUUCUAGUUUAUUUUCUUAUUGGUUGAAAUAUUAUUAUGUGUAUGGAUAAUGAUGUUUUUAUAUAAAAAAUAUACCAAAAUUAUAUGUGUGUGCACAGAUCUAAAAUGAUACUGAAUACGAAACAGAGGGAACAUACCUUAUAAAAAAACUAAAAUGAGAUAAAUUUGUUUGUAAACGCUCUAAAACGCAUAUAUAGCAUAUAUAUGUAUCAGGAUAAUAACCGAUAAAACAGUAAAAGUAUUAUCUUGUCCCGCAGAAGAUAUAUAAUCCUGUAUGCAAAUUUAAAGCAUUUAAAUAAUUAACAAGCCUUAGUCGGUAAAGCCUAACCAGGCUGCAAUUUUUACCGCGUCAAUUCCAGCUCACUAAUCAAUAAAAGCAAAAAUAUAAGUUAAUUAGGAGAAAAAGCCUUAGCGGUGUGCGUGUGAGGCAAAGCCCUAAACCAUUUCAUAAUAUGUAUAUAUACACGCUUAUAUCUUCGUUUCCAAAAUCAUUCUCAAAACAAAAAAAACAUAAUAUACAUCUAUGCUUAGCAUAUCAUGAGCAAUAUCCCCACAUCUCUCACCGACUCAUCUCUUUCUAUCUUUCUCCUCACUAUCUCUUCUGCCGUCGAUCCUUGGCCCUUUUCUAUCUCCGUCUUCUAACAUCAACCUCUGCCUUUUCAUCGUCCUUCAGCGUUUCAUUCAAUCAGUAAGAAAGACUUUAUCUUUUUAAUGGGUUUUGAAGAUCAAGAAGAGCAGAAACAGAGUCCAAAACAGAGUCAGAGCCAGAUGGUGUUCAAGUUUCACUUUUAUGUUCCCCAUCUCCACAUACACCAUCAU
This 7422-nucleotide long non-coding RNA is filed under the name Brassica napus (rape). RNAcentral describes it as "long non-coding RNA (BNAP_LNC023291)". Lineage: Eukaryota; Viridiplantae; Streptophyta; Magnoliopsida; Brassicales; Brassicaceae. The record is from RNAcentral.